GAGUAGGUUAAUAAGGGCGUAUGGAGGAUGCCUUGGCAUAAAAAGGCGAUGAAGGACGUGGCGUGACUGCGAUAAGCGUCGGGGAGGUGUCUAGCAACCUUUGAUCCGGCGAUGUCCGAAUGGGGCAACCCAUGGCAAGUAAUGUUGCCAUAUCUUUAUCCGUAAGAGAUAAAGAAGUAAACCCGGGGAAGUAAAACAUUUCAGUACCCGGAGGAAAAUAAAAGAAGAAUCAAUUUAUUAUUCAUGGGUCCGGAUAGUCGGACUAAUGAAUAAUAUUUUGAUAAUAUUCCCUUAGUAGCGGCGAGCGAAAAGGGAGGAGUCCAAACCUGUCUGACGCUUUCGCAAGAAAGUGUCGGGCGGGGGUUGUAAGGAAUAAUCGUUUUCAUAGCAAUAUGAAAGGAAAGUAUAUAAACUGGAAAAUUGAUUAGUUGAACGGUUUUGGAAAAGCCGGCCACAGAGGGUAAUAGCCCCGUAAGCGAAAAUCUUUUUCAUACUUUCGGAUUAUUUUCUUGAGUACUGCGGGGAAAGACUGCCCCGUAGGAAGCCGGGAGUACUACACUCCCAAGACUAAAUACUUUUUAUGACCGAUAGUGAACUAGUACCGUGAGGGAAAGGUGAAAAGCAGCCCGGUGAGGGCGAUGAAAUAGAUCCUGAAACCAUACGCUUACAAAGAGCGGGAGUCCGUUCUCUCUGUCGCAAGACGGGGCGAGGAUGACCGUGUGCCUAUUGAAGAAUGAGCCAACGACUUUAUGUGUUUUGCUUGUUUAACCCCGCUUAGCGGGGGGAGGCAUAGGGAAACCGAGUGUUAAUAGCGCGUUUAUUUUGUCGCAAGACAGAAUAGGCAAAACUUAUAAGACCCGAAGCCAGGUGAGCUUACCAUGGUCAGGCUGAACUCUGAUGAAAGUCAGAGGGAGGGCCGCACCCACUAGCCGUGCAAUACUAGGGGAUGAAUUGUGGUAAGAAGUGAAAAGCUAAUCGAACCUGGUAAUAGCUGGUUCUCUCCGAAAUAGCUCUAGGGCUAGCCUCAAAUGUUUUUUAUCGGAGGUAGAGCACUGGUUGGUCUGUAUUGGCGCAAGCCAGGCAGACCAGUCAAACUCCGAAUUCCGGUAAAAUAGUUUGGGAGUCAGUAUUCGGGGGCA
Molecule: ribosomal RNA, 1139 nt
Filed under: Patescibacteria group bacterium
Lineage: Bacteria
Description: partial 23S ribosomal RNA
Rfam family: Bacterial large subunit ribosomal RNA
Source: RNAcentral